Molecule: long non-coding RNA, 463 nt
Organism: Felis catus (domestic cat)
Lineage: Eukaryota; Metazoa; Chordata; Mammalia; Carnivora; Felidae
Exons: 3
Source: RefSeq, a predicted model, not a curated record
CAAUGACUUGGAAGAGAACCCAGAGCCUGAUAUGAGAGUGCAAUCCAGGCAGACACCUUGAGGUCUUUAGCAGAAGACUGAGCUAACCUGUACCCAGAUUCAUGACCAAACAGAAACUACACGCCAGGUGAUAAAAGGAUGGAAUGCUUUAACACUCCUCCCCACCUGCCAUAGUCCUCCUGAUUUGAUUCUGGUUUUGCUCCUUCGGACUUAAAUGAUCUUUCUGGUGAGGAAGUCAAGGCCUGGAGAGUUUAAAUACUUUGCAGAAACUCCCACAGCUUGUAGGCUACCAAGGGAAGAUUCAAAUCCACAUGGGUUGAUUCUAAACCUCAAGUUCAAAAAUAAAUAAACAAAACGAACAAAGAAACCUCAAGUUCCUAGGUUCCUACUCUUGUCAUUUUAAUGGUAGAUAUAAAUUUAUUCAUUCUAAGGACAUCCUAUAAUUUAGUUAGAAAAAGGUAGA